GCCGGGUGUGGUGGUGCAUUCCUGUAAUUCCAGCUGCUUAGGAGGCUGAGGCAGGAGAAUCACUUGUACCUGGGAGGCGGAGGUUGCAGUGAGUCAAGAUUGUGCCAUUGCACUCCAGCCUGGGUGACAAAGUGAGACCCUGUCUCUC
This 148-nucleotide non-coding RNA is filed under the name Chlorocebus sabaeus (green monkey). The record is from Rfam by way of RNAcentral. Lineage: Eukaryota; Metazoa; Chordata; Mammalia; Primates; Cercopithecidae.